RNAcentral lists this ribosomal RNA (114 nucleotides) under Ipomoea nil (Japanese morning glory). Lineage: Eukaryota; Viridiplantae; Streptophyta; Magnoliopsida; Solanales; Convolvulaceae. The record is from RNAcentral.
GGAUGCGAUCAUACCAGCACUAAUGGCACGGAUCCCAUCAACUCGAAGUAAGUCGUCUUGGGCAGAGAGUAGUACUAGGAUGGUGACCCCCUGGAAGUCCUCGUGUUGCAUCCC